CUACGGAGGGUGCAAGCGUUAAUCGGAAUUACUGGGCGUAAAGCGUACGUAGGCGGUUAUUUAAGUCAGAUGUGAAAGCCCCGGGCUUAACUUGGGAACUGCAUUUGAAACUGGGUAACUAGAGUUUAGUAGAGGGGAGUGGAAUUUCAGGUGUAGCGGUGAAAUGCGUAGAGAUCUGAAGGAACACCAGUGGCGAAGGCGACUCCCUGGACUAAAACUGACGCUGAGGUACGAAAGCGUGGGUAGCAAACAGGAUUAGAUACCCUAGUAGUCC
This 274-nucleotide ribosomal RNA is filed under the name uncultured bacterium. RNAcentral's name for it is "partial 16S ribosomal RNA". It matches the Rfam family "Bacterial small subunit ribosomal RNA", at positions 523 to 796 of the family's 1533-position model. The record is from RNAcentral.